This 65-nucleotide transfer RNA is filed under the name Cylydrorhinus sp. CYM1. Its description in RNAcentral is "transfer RNA-Leu". The record is from RNAcentral. Lineage: Eukaryota; Metazoa; Arthropoda; Insecta; Coleoptera; Curculionidae.
GUUAUUUUGGCAGACUAGUGCAAUAGAUUUAGAAUCUUUCAAUGUAAAUUAUUUUACAAAUAACA